AAGUCUAGCCUGCCCACUGAAUUUUUUUAAAUGGCCGCAGUAUCCUAACUGUGCAAAGGUAGCAUAAUCAUUAGUCUUUUAAUUGAAGGCUGGAAUGAAUGGUUGGAUGAAAUAUUAACUGUUUCAUAGAAAUUUAUAAUAGAAUUUUAUUUUUUAGUCAAAAAGCUAAAAUAUUUUUAAAAGACGAGAAGACCCUAUAAAUCUUUAUAUUUAGAAAAUUACAAUUAUUUAGAUAACUUUAAUUUUACUUUUUUUAAAUAUUUUAUUGGGGUGAUAUUAAAAUUUAAUAAACUUUUAAUUUAUUUUAAACAUAAAUUAAUGAAUUAUUGAUCCAUAAAUUAUGAUUAAAAAAUUAAGUUACUUUAGGGAUAACAGCGUAAUUUUUUUAGAGAGUUCAUAUUGAUAAAAAAGAUUGCGACCUCGAUGUUGGAUUAAGAUACAGUUUUAGGUGCAGCAGCUUAAACUUAAAGUCUGUUCGACUUUUAAAUUCUUACAUGAUC
RNAcentral lists this ribosomal RNA (500 nucleotides) under Myriophora dolionatis. Its description in RNAcentral is "partial 16S ribosomal RNA". It matches the Rfam family "Bacterial large subunit ribosomal RNA", at positions 1897 to 2605 of the family's 2925-position model. The record is from RNAcentral. Lineage: Eukaryota; Metazoa; Arthropoda; Insecta; Diptera; Phoridae.